GUUAAGUCAGAUGUGAAAGACCCGGGGCGUUAACCUCGGAAUUGCAUUUGAAACUAGGCAGGCUAGAGUCUUGUAGAGGGGGGUAGGGAAGUUUCAGGUGUAGCGGUGAAAUAGCGUAGAGAUCUGAAGGAAUACCAGUGGCGAAGGCGGCCCCCUCGGACAAAGACUGACGCUCAGAUGCGAAAGCGUGGGGAGCAAACAGGAUUAGAUACCCUGGUAG
RNAcentral lists this ribosomal RNA (220 nucleotides) under uncultured bacterium. RNAcentral describes it as "partial 16S ribosomal RNA". It matches the Rfam family "Bacterial small subunit ribosomal RNA", at positions 582 to 793 of the family's 1533-position model. The record is from RNAcentral.